AAUGAAAUACUCARUCUGGCCUGCCCACUAAAUUUUAAAGGGCUGCGGUAAUUUGACCGUGCAAAGGUAGCAUAAUCAAUAGUCUUUUAAUUGGAGGCUUGAAUGAAAGGUUUGACGGGGGGAAGACUGUCUUUUUAGUUUAAAUUGAAGUUAACAUUUGUGUGAAAAGGCAUCAAUAAUUCAAGGGGACGAUAAGACCCUAUAAAAUUUAACAUAUAAAAUCAUUUAUCAGAAUUGGUAGAUAAUGGUUAGAUGAUUAACUAUGUUUUGCUGGGGCGGCAUGAAUAUAAAUUUAACUGUUUAAGAAAUGUAAUAUUUAUUAAUAGAUUAUGGUCCUUUAUUAGAGAGUUAAGAUUAAGUUACUUUAGGGAUAACAGCAUAAUUUCUUUUGAGAGUUCUUAUCGAAGAUAGUAGUUGUGACCUCGAUGUUGAAUUAAACUUUCCUUUGGGUGCAGGAGCCCAUGAGGAGGGCCUGUUCGGCCUUUAAAUGUUU
RNAcentral lists this ribosomal RNA (493 nucleotides) under Synalpheus dominicensis. RNAcentral describes it as "partial 16S ribosomal RNA". It matches the Rfam family "Bacterial large subunit ribosomal RNA", at positions 1837 to 2597 of the family's 2925-position model. Lineage: Eukaryota; Metazoa; Arthropoda; Malacostraca; Decapoda; Alpheidae. The record is from RNAcentral.